This 229-nucleotide long non-coding RNA is filed under the name Theobroma cacao (cacao). RNAcentral describes it as "long non-coding RNA (TCAC_LNC004681)". Lineage: Eukaryota; Viridiplantae; Streptophyta; Magnoliopsida; Malvales; Malvaceae. The record is from RNAcentral.
GUAUUUAUAAGUGGUUACAUGAGAGAAAAAUAAGAAAAACUUUUUAAACCAGCUAAGGACACAUGGUUCUCUAGAUAUAGCUUAAAGAAUAUUGCAUAGAGUUGUGCUCAGAUUCCCAAGAUAGCCACACAAGCCUAAUGGCUACACAAGUAAAACGACACAGUAUAAAAAAGAAAUAGCAACUCCUAAUGAUAGUUCAGAAAAGGUGACUUAGUAACUAAAAAGUAAA